UGUCUAAGUACAUGCCGUAUUAAGGCGAAACCGCGAAUGGCUCAUUAAAUCAGUUAUGGUUCCUUGGAUCGUACCUCACUACUUGGAUAACUGUGGCAAUUCUAGAGCUAAUACAUGCAGCAGAGCUCCGACCCUCGGGGACGAGCGCUUUUAUUAGACCAAAACCAAUCGGGCCUCGUGUCCGUGAAACGUGGUGACUCUGUAUAACUUUGGGCUGAUCGCACGGGCUCGUCCCGGCGACGUAUCCUUCAAGUGUCGCCUUAUCAACUGUCGAUGGUAGGUUAUGCGCCUACCAUGGUCGUAACGGGUAACGGGGAAUCAGGGUUCGAUUCCGGAGAGGGCGCCUGAGAAACGGCGACCACAUCCAAGGAAGGCAGCAGGCGCGCAAAUUACCCACUCCCGGAACGGGGAGGUAGUGACGAAAAAUAGCGAUACGGGACUCUUUUGAGACCCCGUAAUUGGAAUGAGUACACUCUAAAUCCUUUAACGAGGACCCACUAGAGGGCAAGUCAGGUGCCAGCAGCUGCGGUAAUUCCUGUUCUAGUAGUGUAUAUUAAAGUUGUUGCGGUUAAAAAGCUCGUAGUUGGAUCUCAGUUCGAGUCGGGUGGUCCCCCAACCGGGGGCUACUGCCUGUUCUCAACACGGCCGGUUUCUCUAGAUGAUCUUCACCGGUUGUCUUGGGUGACCGGCAAGUUUACUUUGAAAAAAUUAGAGUGCUCAGAGCAGGCGUGACGCCUGAAUAAUGUUGCAUGGAAUAAUGGAAUAGGACCUCGGUUCUAUUUUGUUGGUUUUCGGAACACGAGGUAAUGAUUAAGAGGGACAGACGGGGGCAUUCGUAUUGCGACGCUAGAGGUGAAAGGAAUUGACGGAAGGCCACCACCAGGCGUGGAGCCUGCGGCUUAAUUUGACUCAACACGGGAAAAUUCACCCGGCCCGGACACAGGAAGGAUUGACAGAUUGAGAGCUCUUUCUUGAUUCUGUGGAAGGUGGUGAUGGCCGCUCUUAGCUCGUGGAGCGAUUUGUCUGGUUUACUCCGAUAACGAUCGAGAUCCCAGCCUGCUAAAUAGGCGCUCCGAUUCUUCUCGGUCGGACGUUCUUCUUAGAGGGAUAAGUGGCGUUUAGCCGCACGAACGGGGCAAUAGCAGGUCAGUGAUGCCCCAAGAUGUCCGGGGCCGCACGCGCGCUACAUUGAAGGAAUCAGCGUGUGCUUUCCUGGUCCGACAGGAUCGGGUAACCCGUUGAAACUCCUUCGUGCUGGGGAUAGCCGUUGUAAUUUCGGCUUGAACGAGGAACGCCUAGUAAGCGCGAGUCAUUAGCUCGUGCUGAUUAUGUCCCUGGCCUUUGUCCACACGCCCGUCGCCACUACCGAUUGAACGAUUUAGUGAGGGCAUCGGACUGGCGCUCGGAUUGGCCUUUGGUCGAGCCGCGUGCCGGAAAGAUGUCCAAACUUGACCGUUAGAGGAAGUGAAAGUCGUAACAAGGUUUCC
RNAcentral lists this ribosomal RNA (1487 nucleotides) under Mimetus sp. GH1411f. RNAcentral describes it as "SSU rRNA". It matches the Rfam family "Eukaryotic small subunit ribosomal RNA". Lineage: Eukaryota; Metazoa; Arthropoda; Arachnida; Araneae; Mimetidae. The record is from RNAcentral.